This 434-nucleotide ribosomal RNA is filed under the name uncultured Lachnospiraceae bacterium. RNAcentral's name for it is "bacterial SSU rRNA". It matches the Rfam family "Bacterial small subunit ribosomal RNA", at positions 341 to 792 of the family's 1533-position model. Lineage: Bacteria; Bacillati; Bacillota; Clostridia; Lachnospirales; Lachnospiraceae. The record is from RNAcentral.
ACGGGAGGCAGCAGUGGGGAAUAUUGCACAAUGGGGGAAACCCUGAUGCAGCGACGCCGCGUGAGCGAUGAAGUAUUUCGGUAUGUAAAGCUCUAUCAGCAGGGGAGAUAAUGACGGUACCUGACCAAGAAGCUCCGGCUAAAUACGUGCCAGCAGCCGCGGUAAUACGUAUGGAGCAAGCGUUAUCCGGAUUUACUGGGUGUAAAGGGAGCGUAGGCGGAAGGCUAAGUCUGAUGUGAAAACCCAGGGCUCAACCUUGGGACUGCAUUGGAAACUGGUUUUCUAGAGUGUCGGAGGGGUAAGUGGAAUUCCUAGUGUAGCGGUGAAAUGCGUAGAUAUUAGGAGGAACACCAGUGGCGAAGGCGGCUUACUGGACGACAACUGACGCUGAGGCUCGAAAGCGUGGGGAGCAAACAGGAUUAGAUACCCUGGUA